This 253-nucleotide ribosomal RNA is filed under the name uncultured bacterium. RNAcentral describes it as "partial 16S ribosomal RNA". It matches the Rfam family "Bacterial small subunit ribosomal RNA", at positions 524 to 776 of the family's 1533-position model. The record is from RNAcentral.
UACGUAGGGGGCUAGCGUUGUCCGGAAUCAUUGGGCGUAAAGAGCGUGUAGGCGGCCCGGUAAGUCCGCUGUGAAAGUCAAAGGCUCAACCUUUGAAUGUCAGCGGAUACUGCCGGGCUAGAGUCCGGAAGAGGCGAGUGGAACUCCUGGUGUAGCGGUGGAAUGCGCAGAUAUCAGGAAGAACACCAAUGGCGAAGGCAGCACUCUGGGACGUGACUGACGCUGAGACGCGAAAGCGUGGGGAGCAAACAGG